Molecule: long non-coding RNA, 316 nt
Filed under: Elaeis guineensis (African oil palm)
Lineage: Eukaryota; Viridiplantae; Streptophyta; Magnoliopsida; Arecales; Arecaceae
Description: long non-coding RNA (EGUI_LNC081858)
Source: RNAcentral
GUCGAGGCCUUUUGCCUUCAGAGGCGGGGGCCGUCGCAGGUAUUCCUCCCCCUCGAUCUCCAUCAGGAUCUGCGCACGGGGAGCGGAGAGAGGAGUGUAGGAGUCGUACUUGGGGCGUGCCGGCCUCGGAGUCUGCUGCCGGGGUGGCUUUUGGAUUCGUCGGGGCGGUGAGACCCGACUGUCGGUCGGGGGCCUGCUGGGUUCGGCGGGCUCCCGACCUUUCCUCCGCUUCUCUUUCGGGCCUCUGGGCUCGGCCAAGCGUCGGUCGGACGCUCCUUCGUCCGCGCGCAUAUACUUGUAUGCACGCUCCAGUAGC